This 479-nucleotide ribosomal RNA is filed under the name Cladosporium herbarum. RNAcentral describes it as "eukaryotic LSU rRNA". The stretch from base 118 to 271 matches the Rfam family "5.8S ribosomal RNA". Lineage: Eukaryota; Fungi; Ascomycota; Dothideomycetes; Cladosporiales; Cladosporiaceae. The record is from RNAcentral.
UUUGUUGUCCGACUCUGUUGCCUCCGGGGCGACCCUGCCUUCGGGCGGGGGCUCCGGGUGGACACUUCAAACUCUUGCGUAACUUUGCAGUCUGAGUAAACUUAAUUAAUAAAUUAAAACUUUUAACAACGGAUCUCUUGGUUCUGGCAUCGAUGAAGAACGCAGCGAAAUGCGAUAAGUAAUGUGAAUUGCAGAAUUCAGUGAAUCAUCGAAUCUUUGAACGCACAUUGCGCCCCCUGGUAUUCCGGGGGGCAUGCCUGUUCGAGCGUCAUUUCACCACUCAAGCCUCGCUUGGUAUUGGGCAACGCGGUCCGCCGCGUGCCUCAAAUCGUCCGGCUGGGUCUUCUGUCCCCUAAGCGUUGUGGAAACUAUUCGCUAAAGGGUGUUCGGGAGGCUACGCCGUAAAACAACCCCAUUUCUAAGGUUGACCUCGGAUCAGGUAGGGAUACCCGCUGAAACUUAAGCAUAUCAAAGCGGGG